AAGACUAUACUUUCAGGGAUCAUUUCUAUAGUUUGUUACUAGAAUAUUUUUCAAGCAUAAACAAACUUCUAGU
RNAcentral lists this small nucleolar RNA (73 nucleotides) under Canis lupus familiaris (dog). RNAcentral's name for it is "Small nucleolar RNA U3 (ENSCAFG00030006961.1, ENSCAFG00805013915.1)". It matches the Rfam family "Small nucleolar RNA U3", at positions 1 to 74 of the family's 219-position model. From Rfam's summary of the family: Small nucleolar RNAs (snoRNAs) are involved in the processing and modification of rRNA in the nucleolus. The record is from RNAcentral. Lineage: Eukaryota; Metazoa; Chordata; Mammalia; Carnivora; Canidae.